UACGUAGGGGGCGAGCGUUGUCCGGAAUCAUUGGGCGUAAAGAGCGUGUAGGCGGCUUGGCAAGUCUGACGUGAAAGCCCGCGGCUCAACCGCGGAUUGUCGUUGGAAACUGCCUCGCUAGAGUCCGGAAGAGGAGAGCGGAAUUCCUGGUAUAGCGGUGGAAUGCGCAGAUAUCAGGAAGAACACCCGUGGCGAAGGCGGCUCUCUGGGACGGUACUGACGCUGAGACGCGAAAGCGUGGGGAGCGAACAGG
RNAcentral lists this ribosomal RNA (253 nucleotides) under uncultured bacterium. Its description in RNAcentral is "partial 16S ribosomal RNA". It matches the Rfam family "Bacterial small subunit ribosomal RNA", at positions 524 to 776 of the family's 1533-position model. The record is from RNAcentral.